RNAcentral lists this non-coding RNA (169 nucleotides) under Gloeochaete wittrockiana. Lineage: Eukaryota; Glaucocystophyceae; Gloeochaetales; Gloeochaetaceae. The record is from RNAcentral.
GGAAUUAAAGGAAAUAAAUAUGUUACUACUUUUUUCCCAAGCACCUUCACAUAUUCAUUUACUUUAAUUCCCCAACUAUAGUAAAUCAGCAAUUAUAGUUAUUAAUUCUGACUUCGAUGUUUUAUAUGAUGUUUUGACCCCGGUACUUAACAGGCACGUGGUGAGUUGU